Molecule: ribosomal RNA, 473 nt
Filed under: Hepatozoon sp. MIG1
Lineage: Eukaryota; Apicomplexa; Hepatozoidae
Description: bacterial SSU rRNA
Rfam family: Eukaryotic small subunit ribosomal RNA
Source: RNAcentral
GAAACGGCUACCACAUCUAAGGAAGGCAGCAGGCGCGCAAAUUACCCAAUUCUAACAGCAUAAGAGAGGUAGUGACAAGAAAUAACAGUACAAGGCAGUUAAAAUGUUUUGUAAUUGGAAUGAUAGAAAUUUAAACACUUUUUAAAGUAUCAAUUGGAGGGCAAGUCUGGUGCCAGCAGCCGCGGUAAUUCCAGCUCCAAUAGCGUAUAUUAAAAUUGUUGCAGUUAAAAAGCUCGUAGUUGAAUUUUUGCUAGAAAUAACCGGUCUGCUUUUAUUAAUAAGAGUGGUACCUUGGUGUGUUUUUAGCAAUAAUGUCCUUUGAAAUGUGUUUUACUUUAUUGUAAAAGCAAUAUUCAGGAUUUUUACUUUGAGAAAAUUAGAGUGUUUCAAGCAAGCUAACGUUUUGAAUACUGCAGCAUGGAAUAAUAAAAUAAGAUUUUGGUUCUACAUUAUUGGUUUUAAGAACUAAAUUA